AAUUACAGAUUCCUGCACACCUGUUGGAGGCCCUGGUAAAGACUUCCUCAGGAGAAGUUCCUGGGCUCCCUCUCCUCUCUACUUUCUCUGUUUGUUUUGCGCUCACCCGUUGGGCUGCAGCUUGUUUGUAUGCGCCCUAGUUCCCGUUAUAAAACCCUUUUUCUUUUCCUCAAACAUGGCACCGGCUUCACAUGUUUAAGCUGAGAACAUAUUCAGUUGAAUUCCACAUGGAUGCAAUCAGGAAAAAUAAAUUCAUGCAUUGAUUUAACCGGCAACUAUGAUGCCCCUAAGGGGACAUGGGUCCGGUUCGCGCUACUGACCGGACAAUGGAUGGUCCGGUUCUGGAUGGAAGAAGUUCACAGCACUAAAUAAACUAAAGUGGCUUCCUUCCAUCUGUUCAAGUCAAAGAACCGCCUGGAGUGAAGUUCAUGCUACUUUACCGUACCAUUGUUGUUUUCUGUGUUAGAUGCAGCUGCAAUCGUCACUUCCGUGUUUUCAGAUUACAACUGGAGAAUUUAUGGACGCUACACUAGUUAGCAAUAGCAACAGGUAGCCCAAUUUAUAUCUCUCUCUCUCGCUAGCUGAUGAGAUAGAUCACUAAAAUAUGCAGCUGCUCCAUGUUUGCUGUCGUGACAAUGACCCAGAACUACUGUGGUGUAAUUUGUACAUGUUUAUUUUUGGGGAGAAUGCAAAUGUUUUGCGAGACCACGCAAGAGAGGAUGCAAAUGUGUUGUGAGAUCUCUUAAAAGUUUUGUGAGAGAACACAAAGAUUUUGCGAGAUCUUGCGAAGGUAUUUCUGUUUUCCUACUCAUGUUCCUUUGGGGGCUCCAUAGGCAAGAGCUCACUUUACUUAGUUAAAUGUAGAGUUUAAACAUGCACUGCACAAACUCGGAUCUCCCAAGAUUAAGAACCAGAGAGGUAUACUUUCUUGUAUGCUCUUGUAUGCCUAAUAGUAGGGAGCCUACUUUAAAGCUUUUAAUUUAAGAUAUGAUUAUGUCCAACAGAAGAGCGCUUCAGCUACAUUGGUCACCAUUAUUCAUUCGAGCCCGAAUUCAUGGAUUAAGAGUUUCAGAAGUGGCUGAGAGGUCUAAGGGCACUCAAUGAAAGUGAUAUGAAAAUGUUUCCCCCCCCCAUUGAAAUUGCACAGAUAGGAACCUUUUUCUGUCCUGAAGAUUGUCUGGGCUCAUGAAAUCCC
Long non-coding RNA from Anguilla rostrata (American eel), 1195 nucleotides. RefSeq lists it as uncharacterized. Lineage: Eukaryota; Metazoa; Chordata; Actinopteri; Anguilliformes; Anguillidae. The record is from RefSeq and is a predicted model, not a curated record. The transcript is spliced from 4 exons.